GAUGAAGGACGCAGCGAAAUGCGAUACGUAAUGUGAAUUGCAGAAUUCAGUGAAUCAUCGAAUCUUUGAACGCAUAUUGCGCUCUUUGGUAUUCCGAAGAGCAUGCUUGUUUGAGUAUCAGUAAACACCUCAAAGACUUCAAUUUGUAUUGAAUGGCUUUGGACUUGAGCAAUCCCAACACCAGUCUUUACGAUCGGUGGAGGGUUGCUUGAAAUGCAGGUGCAGCUGGACAUUCUCCUGAGCUAAAAGCAUAUUUAUUUAGUCCCGUCAAACGGAUUAUUACUUUUGCUGCAGCUAACAUAAAGGGAGUUUGACCGUAUUGGCUGACUGAUGCAGGAUUUCACAAGGGUCGGCAACGAUUCUUGUAAAACUCGAUCUCAAAUCAAGUAAGACUACCCGCUGAACUUAAGCAUAUCAAUAAGCGGAGGA
Molecule: unclassified non-coding RNA, 429 nt
Filed under: soil metagenome
Description: partial contains 5.8S ribosomal RNA, internal transcribed spacer 2, and large subunit ribosomal RNA
Rfam family: 5.8S ribosomal RNA (bases 1-120)
Source: RNAcentral